This 86-nucleotide transfer RNA is filed under the name Aeromonadales bacterium. Its description in RNAcentral is "tRNA-Leu". It matches the Rfam family "tRNA". Rfam says of the family: Transfer RNA (tRNA) molecules are approximately 80 nucleotides in length. The record is from RNAcentral. Lineage: Bacteria; Pseudomonadati; Pseudomonadota; Gammaproteobacteria; Aeromonadales.
GCCGAAGUGGUGGAAUUGGUAGACACGCUAGCUUGAGGGGUUAGUGACCUUCGGUCGUGCCGGUUCAAGUCCGGCCUUCGGCACCA